This 437-nucleotide ribosomal RNA is filed under the name uncultured bacterium. RNAcentral describes it as "partial 16S ribosomal RNA". It matches the Rfam family "Bacterial small subunit ribosomal RNA", at positions 28 to 507 of the family's 1533-position model. The record is from RNAcentral.
GAUGAACGCUGGCGGCAUGCCUAACACAUGCAAGUCGGGCGGGAAGAGGUGUUUCCAGCGCCGGACGGGUGAGCAACGCGCAAGAACCUGCCCUGGGGAUGGGAACAACAUCUGGAAACGGUUGCUAAGAGCCCGUAGGGCUAGGAGCAAAAAGAGUAAUCCGCCCGAGGGGGGGCUCGGGUCUGAUGAGCUAGUUGGUAGUGCAAUAGCUUACCAAGGCGAUGAGCAGAAGCGGGUGCGAGAGGAUGAUCAGCCACACUGGGACUGAGACCCGCCCUAGACUCCUUCGGGAGGCAGGCGUGGGGAUUUUUCCGCAAUGCGCGACAGCCUGACGGAGCCAUGCCGCCUGGAGGUAGAAUGCCUACGGGUGCUGAACUUCUUAACCCACAGAAGACGCCUUGACGGUACCUGGGGAAUAAGCAUCGGCUAACUCUGUG